RNAcentral lists this ribosomal RNA (470 nucleotides) under Conotrachelus sp. SPN-041. RNAcentral's name for it is "partial 16S ribosomal RNA". It matches the Rfam family "Bacterial large subunit ribosomal RNA", at positions 1802 to 2542 of the family's 2925-position model. Lineage: Eukaryota; Metazoa; Arthropoda; Insecta; Coleoptera; Curculionidae. The record is from RNAcentral.
GUUUAACAAAAACAUGUCUUUUUGACUAUAAUUUAAAGUCUAACCUGCCCAAUGAUUAGUAUUAAAUGGCCGCAGUAUACUGACUGUGCAAAGGUAGCAUAAUCAUUAGUUUUUUAAUUGAAAGCUGGAAUGAAAGGUUGAAUGAGAAAAUAACUGUCUCUAUCUAAAUUUUUUAGAAUUUUAUUUUUAAGUAAAAAAGCUUAAAUAUAAAUAAAAGACGAGAAGACCCUAUAGAGUUUUAUAUUUUUUGGGCACUAAAAUUUUAGAAUUUUGUGUUUUAUUGUCUUAGAAGUAUUUAAUUGGGGUGAUUGAAAAAUUAAAAAAACUUUUUUUGAAUUUUUACAUUUAUUUAUGGUUACUUGAUCCUUAUUUAAAGAUUAUAAGAUUAAAUUACCUUAGGGAUAACAGCGUAAUUUUUUUUGAGAGUUCUAAUCGAAAAGAAAGAUUGCGACCUCGAUGUUGGAUUAAAA